This 940-nucleotide unclassified non-coding RNA is filed under the name Hevea brasiliensis (rubber tree). The record is from RNAcentral. Lineage: Eukaryota; Viridiplantae; Streptophyta; Magnoliopsida; Malpighiales; Euphorbiaceae.
AUUGUAAGAGAAGAUCUGAAAUCUAUUGGGCCCCAUAAGAAAUAAGUUGAGAACAUGAGAAUUACUAUUCACAAGGUAGUAUUCAAACGAGCCUAAUUCACUGCAGUUCUCUUGAUUUUAGCAUACAGUUACAAGGUGGUAUUCAAUUCAACCACACAAGAUUUUUGAAUACAAAUACAUCGCAGCAGUCAGAUAGACCACAGAAUCUGGGACCCCUUGCAAACCAAGAUUUCUUUCUUGCAGAGAAAAAAAGUAAAAACCCACAACAGUCUGGUGGAGGAGUAUUUCGUCAAAUGUUAAAAUAUGUAUAUUAAUCCAUUAAUUGCAGGAAAUGACAAAAUCAUCAAAACAAAUGAAAAGUGAUCCCUGAGAAACAACCAAACCAUAGCAAACUUAAGCUGAUUAGAACUUAUAUGCCAGAUGAUAUGUUGUGCAUCCAGCAUCCACAUGACAGAUAUUAAAUGCACAAAACUCUCGUUAACAAAAGUUGGCUCAACGGACAUAAUGAAAUCCAAUGGAGCUAUUUGAAAAGUAUGCUAAAAAAUAAUUUAUCUAAACAAUUGAAGAAAAACCCAUUAAUCUUGACGAAGGAAUUGGACGUAGAACAAAUCGAUAAAAAAAAAAUGAAUAGAAUCAUUACCAAGAAAAUCGUAAUCGAAUAACAAACAACUUAAAGCGCAUAAAUUUAAGACAGUAGCGGAUUAAUAUAUAUGGAUAAAAAAGAAUACCAGAAGGGUUGCGAUAGGAAGGUGCUCCAACGGAAGUGAAGAUGAAUCGAGAAGGCAAGUAGUGGCGGGGCUGAUGGUGGGUAAAAGUGGCGAAACGGGAGGACCUGAAACAGGUUGCGCGCCAUGUGGAUCUCAGUAACACCAUCUUCCCCAUUUUUUGUUGGGAAGGAUAGGUGAACAGAAGCAGUGACCGCUUGCUUCUCAGAAAGCAA